CCCUUAGAUGUUCUGGGCCGCACACGCGCUACACUGAAGGAGGCAGCGUGUACUCCUGGAUCGAAAGAUUUGGGUAACCCGCGAAUCUCCUUCGUGCUAGGGAUUGAGGUUUGCAAUUAUCCUUCAUGAACGAGGAAUUCCCAGUAAGUGCAAGUCAUAAGCUUGCGCUGACUACGUCCCUGCCCUUUGUACACACCGCCCGUCGCUACUAUCGAUUGAAUGAUUUAGUGAGGACUUCGGACUGGGACCGAUGCGGCUUUCGGGCUGCGUCGGUAUUCUGGAAAGAUGUCCAAACUGUAUCAUUUAGAGGAAGUAAAAGUCGUAACA
Molecule: ribosomal RNA, 327 nt
Filed under: uncultured eukaryote
Lineage: Eukaryota
Description: partial 18S ribosomal RNA
Rfam family: Eukaryotic small subunit ribosomal RNA
Source: RNAcentral